GGGCCAGUAGCUCAGGUGGUUAGAGCGCACGCCUGAUAAGCGUGAGGUCGGAGGCUCAAGUCCUCCUCGACCCACCA
Molecule: transfer RNA, 77 nt
Filed under: Gemmatimonadota bacterium
Lineage: Bacteria; Pseudomonadati; Gemmatimonadota
Description: Gemmatimonadetes bacterium (activated sludge metagenome) tRNA-Ile
Rfam family: tRNA
About the family: Transfer RNA (tRNA) molecules are approximately 80 nucleotides in length. Their secondary structure includes four short double-helical elements and three loops (D, anti-codon, and T loops).
Source: RNAcentral